UACAGAGGUGGCAAGCGUUGUUCGGAAUUACUGGGCGUAAAGGGCGCGUAGGCGGUUCGUUAAGUCCUGUGUGAAAUCCCCCGGCUCAACUGGGGAACUGCACAGGAAACUAGCGGGCUUGAGUUCGGGAGAGGGAAGCGGAAUUCCGGGUGUAGCGGUGAAAUGCGUAGAUAUUCGGAAGAACACCAGUGGCGAAGGCGGCUCACUGGACCGGUAUUGACGCUGAGGUGCGAAAGCGUGGGGAGCAAACAGG
This 253-nucleotide ribosomal RNA is filed under the name uncultured bacterium. Its description in RNAcentral is "partial 16S ribosomal RNA". It matches the Rfam family "Bacterial small subunit ribosomal RNA", at positions 524 to 776 of the family's 1533-position model. The record is from RNAcentral.